Molecule: ribosomal RNA, 717 nt
Filed under: Calocybella swetha
Lineage: Eukaryota; Fungi; Basidiomycota; Agaricomycetes; Agaricales; Lyophyllaceae
Description: eukaryotic LSU rRNA
Rfam family: 5.8S ribosomal RNA (bases 328-481)
Source: RNAcentral
GAGGAAGUAAAAGUCGUAACAAGGUUUCCGUAGGUGAACCUGCGGAAGGAUCAUUAGUGAAUAAAAUUGGGGUCUUGGUUGAUGCUGACUUCUUUUUUGAGGUAGGGCCACGCUUGCCCACCAUUUUUAUUUUAACCCCCACUGGUCCACUUUUGUUAGACUUGGAUUGGAAUUUUUGGGGCGGUUAAUUGGGUUUUGGGGAACGUGCCAAUGGGGGUGGCUGUUUUGGUAUUUAUUCAAUUUUAGGAUUUUACUUUUUCCCCCUUAAAGUUAUUGGAAUGUGUUAUUUAUUAUUGCCCUUUUUUUUUGUGCCUUUAAUCUUUAUACAACUUUCAACAACGGAUCUCUUGGCUCUCGCAUCGAUGAAGAACGCAGCGAAAUGCGAUAAGUAAUGUGAAUUGCAGAAUUCAGUGAAUCAUCGAAUCUUUGAACGCACCUUGCGCUCCUUGGUAUUCCGAGGAGCAUGCCUGUUUGAGUGUCAUUUAAUUACUCAACCUUUCUUCAGUUUUUAGAAGUUAGGUUUGGAUUGUGGGAAUUGCAGGCUUUUUUGUAGUCAGCUUUCCUUAAAAAUGUUAGUAAAGCCAGGCCCUUUGUUUGACUCAUUACUUGGUGUGAUAAGUUAUCUACGCCAUGAAAGUCUUUCAAUGUGGUUGUUCUCUUUUAGAGCUUUGCUUCUAACUGUCCAUUUAGGACAACUCUCUAUUUAAAUUGACCUCA